RNAcentral lists this ribosomal RNA (162 nucleotides) under Magnolia compressa. RNAcentral describes it as "5.8S ribosomal RNA". It matches the Rfam family "5.8S ribosomal RNA". From Rfam's summary of the family: 5.8S ribosomal RNA (5.8S rRNA) is a component of the large subunit of the eukaryotic ribosome. Lineage: Eukaryota; Viridiplantae; Streptophyta; Magnoliopsida; Magnoliales; Magnoliaceae. The record is from RNAcentral.
CAAACGACUCUCGGCAACGGAUAUCUCGGCUCUUGCAUCGAUGAAGAACGUAGCGAAAUGCGAUACUUGGUGUGAAUUGCAGAAUCCCGUGAACCAUCGAGUUUUUGAACGCAAGUUGCGCCCGAGACCUUUAGGUUGAGGGCACGUCUGCCUGGGCGUCAC